Molecule: ribosomal RNA, 253 nt
Filed under: uncultured bacterium
Lineage: Bacteria
Description: partial 16S ribosomal RNA
Rfam family: Bacterial small subunit ribosomal RNA
Source: RNAcentral
UACAGAGGUGGCAAGCGUUGUUCGGAAUUACUGGGCGUAAAGGGCGCGUAGGCGGUUUCGUAAGUCCCGUGUGAAAGCCCCCGGCUCAACUGGGGAAUUGCACGGGAAACUGCGAGGCUUGAGUUCGGGAGAGGGAAGCGGAAUUCCGGGUGUAGCGGUGAAAUGCGCAGAUAUCAGGAGGAACACCGGUGGCGAAGGCGGGUCUCUGGGCCGAUAUUGACGCUGAGGAGCGAAAGCGUGGGGAGCGAACAGG